GUAGGUGGCAAGCGUUGUCCGGAAUUAUUGGGCGUAAAGCGCGCGCAGGCGGUUCUUUAAGUCUGAUGUGAAAGCCCACGGCUCAACCGUGGAGGGUCAUUGGAAACUGGAGAACUUGAGUACAGAAGAGGAAAGCGGAAUUCCACGUGUAGCGGUGAAAUGCGUAGAGAUGUGGAGGAACACCAGUGGCGAAGGCGGCUUUCUGGUCUGUAACUGACGCUGAGGCGCGAAAGCGUGGGGGAGCAAACAGGAUUAGAUACCCUGGUAGUCCACGCCGUAAACGAUGAGUGCUAAGUGUUAGGGGGUUUCCGCCCCUUAGUGCUGCAGCUAACGCAUUGAGCACUCCCGCCUGGGGAGUACGGCCGCGAAGGCUG
RNAcentral lists this ribosomal RNA (374 nucleotides) under uncultured organism. RNAcentral describes it as "partial 16S ribosomal RNA". It matches the Rfam family "Bacterial small subunit ribosomal RNA", at positions 527 to 896 of the family's 1533-position model. The record is from RNAcentral.